Molecule: ribosomal RNA, 256 nt
Filed under: uncultured bacterium
Lineage: Bacteria
Description: partial 16S ribosomal RNA
Rfam family: Bacterial small subunit ribosomal RNA
Source: RNAcentral
UUGGGCCUACGGGACGCAGCAGUGAGGAAUAUUGGUCAAUGGCCGGAAGGCUGAACCAGCCAAGUAGCGUGAAGGAUGACUGCUCUAUGGGUUGUAACCUUCUUUUAUAUGGGAAUAAAAUGUUCCACGUGUGGGAUUUUGUAUGUACCAUAUGAAUAAGGAUCGGCUAACUCCGUGCCAGCAGCCGCGGUAAUACGGAGGAUCCGAGCGUUAUCCGGAUUUAUUGGGUUUAAAGGGAGCGUAGGUGGAUUGUUAA